RNAcentral lists this long non-coding RNA (850 nucleotides) under Brassica rapa (field mustard). RNAcentral's name for it is "long non-coding RNA (BRAP_LNC008821)". The record is from RNAcentral. Lineage: Eukaryota; Viridiplantae; Streptophyta; Magnoliopsida; Brassicales; Brassicaceae.
UUUUGUCCCAAAUGGGUUUUCCAGGGAAGGUUUUUAACGAGGCCACAACUUGCUUCACACUUAUCCUAAGUGCCAAGUUCGAUCCAAGGCUAAGAAGCCUCAUGACCUUAUUUCAUGUUUUACAUUAUAGUUUGUUUCCUUAUUUGUACUUUCGUGACUUAAGUGGAGCCUGUUCCCUUAGUCCUAUUUAUAUGUUUUCGCAAGCCCACUUUUGGGGCAGACUUUGAAUAAUCAUAAACUUUUCUUCUAAAGAAAACCCUAGAGCUCUCAAGCUAGAACUCGCCUCCUUCUCUUUGCCUUGUGAGACCAGCACCUCCACGGCCUAGAGGAACCUUGUGUUGUAUCACGAGCCUCCCAUCUCUCGUGUGGUGCACUUCAUCCCAUCAUACAGUUCCAGUUCAGAUCCCUUGGUUGAUUAGAUCAGUCCAUCCGGAUCACCCUUGUGUUAGAUCGGCUCCUUCUCUCUCUUGCUUGGGAACGUACAGCCUUUGAUAGCUUAGGCUUGUAUCAUUUCUGGUAUCAGAGCUGAAGUUCCUUCAGCAUCAGGUUAUAUCUAUCCUUGUCUCUUUUAUUUGCAUCCGAUUUGUGAUCCAUUGUUUCUGCUUUCAUGAAAUCAUAAACCAAAUAAAGAGAUCGCGUUUCAUUGUUGCACUUAGUUGUUUUCUUCACAUCUUGCUUGCAUCCGAUUGUUACAUCCUGUCCUGCUUAGUUUUAAUCUUCAUAAAGUCAAAAAAAAAAAAAAAACGUGUUGCUAGGAUUGCAUAUUUUGGUUUCCAAUUGUUUGAUCGACAGGUUUAUUCGGUUUCCAUAUUUGCAAAGAGUUUUCAAAUUAUUUCCUUCCCGGUCGAUC